Ctenocephalides felis (cat flea) is the source of this 602-nucleotide long non-coding RNA. RefSeq lists it as uncharacterized. The record is from RefSeq and is a predicted model, not a curated record. Lineage: Eukaryota; Metazoa; Arthropoda; Insecta; Siphonaptera; Pulicidae. The transcript has 5 exons.
UUGCUGAAGGCCUUGCAUUCGUGGCGUCAACUAGAAAUUCUUGUGUUAAUGGAGUCUUCAAGGAAGUCAGCGACAUGCAAACAAGUAAUAAAUUAAAGGUCUUCCAAACAAUAAGCAUCUGAAUAAUGACAGAAAUGCUGGAAAACGGAAGCGUGAAAAGGGUCCAGCUCCUCCCAUGCCUGUCAUUUGCAUGAGUGUGAUGCCAUUGCCUAUCGCAGAUAAAAAACAUGAUUUGGAGAUCAUUGAGUUGCAAUAUUAGUGAUAAUUCUACAAGAAGCAUAGAAACUGCAACUGCCAGUAUGACGGAUGAUCAAGUAGAUGAUUUUUUGCUUCAGUUGUUUGAAAUUGUAAAGGAGAAAAAUGAACUAUUCUGGAGGCAAGCCUAGUUGAGUAUACCUCUGCUAUAAAAUAGAAGCUGUCGACAAUAAUCAAGUUAAUUAUAAAAAAUAAGUUAACUCUGGAAUGAGAAUCCUGUAUUAUCUUACUGCUGCAGUAGACUUCUUUGCUUCAUUAACUAUCGGAUGGCAACCUAUAAGAGAAAUAUCUGCUGAGGGAUCAAAAAGACUUCUAUGGAAACUGAAUUUAUUAAACUGAAUACGCGU